RNA transcript from Diospyros lotus (date-plum), 7367 nucleotides. It is a transcript of the gene named nudix hydrolase 25, with no coding region annotated. The transcript has 8 exons. The record is from RefSeq and is a predicted model, not a curated record. Lineage: Eukaryota; Viridiplantae; Streptophyta; Magnoliopsida; Ericales; Ebenaceae.
CUCUCCACUUCAGUGUAUGUAGUAUAUACAAAGUGAAUAUCAGCAAUAUAUACAAUUAGAAUAUAGAACGCAUCGCCGUCGUCACCGUCACGCUAUAUAUGCAGAAGCAUCGGACCUUUUAAAUUCUGGUGAUAGUGCUCGAAUCGCAGACUCGCAGUGACCCUCUCUGUUUCUCUCCUCUCCCUCCUCAAUUAUUCUGACCUUUUUCUGUGCGAGCAGAAAAUGGAGGACCUGCCCUCUGGUUAUCGUCCCAACGUCGGAGUCUGCCUCAUCAAUUCUGACAAUCAGGUUUUUGUGGCUUCAAGAUUGAAUGUUCCAGGAGCAUGGCAGAUGCCCCAGAAUGGAAGGAGAUUACCUUGAGCAAUUCUGGGUGACCCAUUGGAUCAGCCAAUGGGCUGACAACGAACCAAUAAUGGUAGACAUCUUCGAUCGCCUUGAUCUCCUCGAAGGUAUACUAAGAGAUGUGCCGCCAAGCAGUUUUGUACGGCCAACCCUAAUGCAAGCCCAGGUGGAAUUUUUGAUAAAUCACAUGGAAGGGAUUUGGAGAGACCUAGCUGAAGGACUUCACCUUGAAGGCAAUUACGCAUCCUUAUACUUUUAUUGCCAACAGUUCCGCAACCACGCCGCCAACAUAUAUGAGGGGAUUGAAGUAGAGGGAGACGAAAUGUUAGACUUAGAUGGAGAAUGGGACGCCGAAGAGGCAGCCAUGGCUAAUGAAAUGUAUGCUGACCUCCUUAGGUCGGAUGAUGAAGAUGAAGAAGCAACUGUACAUGACGACCUUGAUGGACCCGAGGUCGAGUCUGAAGAUGACACAGCGAUUGAUGAUGCUUGGGUCUGGAAGUCAGCCAACCCAUAGAAAGAAUCAUGGACGAUUUUAUUUCGCUUAUUAGUGUGUCAGAUGUGUGCUGUGUGCUUUUCUUAAAUGAUGUUAUAUAUCGUGUUCUGAAAUGAAAUUCCGAUUUGAAGAAAUUCUUGUGGAAUGAGAUUUUGUUUUUCUUUCAGAUGGUAAUCACGAGACAACAAAGGAACAUGACUCCUGUCAACCCCAAUCGGGGAAUCGAGGAUGUCAGAGGCAGUAGAAAUCGCCGCUACAAUCGUGACGAUAGUAGUAGCAUCCGAACUGAGGAACAAGAGACAGAAUCAGCAGUCCCCGAGGGACGAUUGGAUCGGAUUGAGAAGAUCUUAGAAAAUCUCGUAACCCACACAACUAGGGGAGAACCGGCCAAGCACACUGAUAAUGUGCUAGAACAGUAUCGGCGACAGCGACCACCAACGUUCAAAGGAAAACCCCAUGAUGACCCCAGCACGGUCGAAUACUGGUUGGAAUAAACAGAGAAGUUGCUUCGACAUCUGCAGUAUAAUGAUGAGGACAAAUUGAAUUGUGCCACUUUCAUGUUGGAGGAAGAAGCUGGAAGAUGGUGGCAGACAGCUGAACGAGCUUUACAACGAUCUUACUCGAGACAAGGAUCAGAAUCCGAUGAGACUCCAGUAUCAGUCUGGGAGGCAUUUAAGAAAGCCUUUAAUGAUAAGUAUUUUCCUCUUAGCUGGAAGCAGGAAAAGAGCUGGGAGUUUAAAAACCUAAAGCAGACCGGAGAAAUGACGGUGGCGCAAUACGACACCAAAUUCAACCAACUCAUUAAAUAUGUGCCAAUGUAUGACUCCGAUGAAUGGCAAAAGGCACAGAAGUUUAUGUCAGGACUUCGAGUAGAGUUGUUGUAGGCUUUGAGCACCUGGUCGAUCGAUUCCUAUGAAGAAGCCUUGAGUAAAGCUUUGAUAACAGAAAGGAAUCUUCUUCAAGUGAAGCUCAUUAGGUCUGGUGAAAUGAAGGGAAACUCGGAACAGAAAUCGGGAAAUAAAAGCUCCCAAAACAGCAAGCAAUGCCCCAAAUGCAAGAAGAACCAUCUGGGAAAGAAAUGCUUGGCAGGGACAUCCAGCUGUUACUCGUGCAGAGAACAAGGACACAUAAGUAGAGACUGUCGCAAAAGAAAAGAAACACCUCCAGUGAAAGAUCUAACAAAGGUGGUGUGUUUUCAGUGCAAUCAACUAGGGCACUAUUCAAGGAACUGUCCGAAGAAGCCGAAACUCGGACAAGCAGAUGGACCAGCUGAAAGAGCAGGAAAGGCUCGUUGGACUUGUCAGGGACACGUCUACAACCUCACCAAAGAAGAUGGGACAGAUCCGGCAGUCAUACAAGGUACGCUCUUUAUAUCGGAUACCCCUGUGCAUGCAUUGAUAGACCUUGGGUCAACGCAUUUAUUUAUGUCAUAUACACUAGCUGGGAGUUUGGGGGUAGAGACUAAACCUAUGGAAUCUCCGAUAAUAAUUUCUACGCCCAUGGGUAAAAGUGCAAGGUCCUCAAGAGUGAGAGAAAAAUGCGAAAUUAGUUUAAGUGAUGCUCGAUUCCAGGUUGAUCUAAUCUUGCUGGAAGUAUAUGAUUUCGACGUAAUUUUGGGAAUGGACUUCUUGUCCAGAUAUGAUGCCAAUAUAGAUUGUCGAAGAAAAAUAGUGACCAUAAAGAAACCCGAAGGGGAAUGGGUCAAAUUUCGGGGACAAGGUGACCCCAAGAUUAGAAAAAUGAUUUCAGCUAUGAAAGCAGUAAAAUUAAUAAGCCAAGGAGCUCAUGGGUAUAUAGCUUAUGCUCGAUUAGAAAAGGGAGAAUUACCAAAACUCAACGAGGUGCAAGUGGUGCAAGAGUACGAGGACGUGUUCCCAGAAGACCUAUCGGGAUUACCUCCACCUCGAGAGAUCGAGUUCUCGAUUGAGCUAGUACCAGGAACCCAACCGAUAUCAAUUCCACCAUAUCGGAUGGCUCCGGCAGAAAUGAAGGAAUUGAAGAGUCAGCUUCAGCAGCUAACCGAUAAGGAAUUCAUCCGGCCAAGCACGUCACCAUGGGGCGCGCCAGUAUUAUUUGUAAAAAAUAAAGAUGGUAGUAUGAGGAUGUGCAUCGACUACCGUCAAUUAAACAAGGCCACAAUCAAGAAUAAGUAUCCACUCCCAAGGAUUGAUGAGCUGUUUGAUCAGCUACAGGGAGCAAAGGUGUUCUCAAAAAUUGAUUUGAGAUCUGGAUACUAUUAAUUGAGAAUCAAGCCGGAUGAUGUCUCGAAGGCAGCAUUUCGAACAAGGUACGACCAUUAUGAGUAUUUGGUGAUGCCAUUUGGACUAACGAACGCCCCAGCGGCAUUUAUGGACCUCAUGAAUAGAGUGUUCAGACUCUACUUAGAUCAAUUUGUAAUCGUGUUUAUAGACGAUAUAUUGGUGUAUUCCUCGAACGAGAAUGAGCACGAAGGGCACUUGAGAGCAGUGCUAGAAACUCUUAGGAAACAUCAACUAUAUGCCAAGUUCUCGAAAUGCGAGUUUUGGUUGUCUCAAGUUGCAUUCUUAGGUCAUGUGAUAUCGACCGAGGGAAUCUCGGUAAAUCCAGCCAAGAUUGAGGCUGUUCAGGGAUGGAAGCAACCAACACGUGUAACCGAGAUAUGAAGUUUUUUGGGAUUGGUAGGCUAUUAUCGAAGAUUUGUAGAGGGGUUUUCGAAGAUAGCCGCGCCUAUGACAAAACUCAUACGAAAAGACGUCAAGUUCGAAUGGACUGCCAAGUGCGAGGAAAGCUUUCAAGAGUUCAAAGAUAGGCUAACCUCGGCACCUAUUCUAGCAAUGCCUAGAGGGCCAGGUGGAUAUGUUGUAUACACGGAUGCCUCGAAGAUAGGUUUGGGUCUGUGUUAAUGAAAAAUGGUCGAGUGAUCGCGUAUAGGUCACGACAGUUAAAGAAGCACGAGGUAAAUUACUCGACUCAUGAUCUGGAACUGGUAGCCGUGAUAUAUGCUCUGAAACUAUGGAGACAUUACCUGUAUGGUGAAACCUUUGAGGUGUUCACAGACCACAAGAGCAUGAAGUAUGUGUUCUCGCAAAAGGAGUUGAACCUUAGGCAGCGACGGUGGAUGGAGUUUCUUAAGGACUACGACUGCACCAUACAGUAUCACUCGGGACGUGCCAAUGUGGUGGCUGACGCACUGAGUAGGAAUGUGCCUAUUUCUAUGGCUGGGAUGAUGGCCCGUGAGUGGCAGAUGUUGGAGGCUUUUAGCCAACUGACAGUGAGUGUAGUGCCAAAGGAAUCAUCCGUCCUUAUCGCUGGCAUGGUAGUUCAACUGGAUUUAGUGAACGAAAUAUGAGAGGCAUAUGUGGAUGAUAAGCGAAUACAUCUAUGGGUGGACGAGCAUGGCCAGCCUAAGAGAUCCGAUUUUGAAAUGCAUGAUGGCAUACUAAGAUUUCGGGGAAGGAUCUACGUGCCAAACCUGAAAGACUUGAGGCAAAGAAUUUUGAAUGAAGCUCACAGAACUCGUUAUACAGUACACCCAGGAGCCACAAAAAUGUAUAUAGAUCUCCGAGAAGUCUAUUGGUGGCCAGGAUUGAAGACAAGUGUGGCAAGGAAAGUAGCGCAGUGCGACACAUGCCAGAGAGUAAAGAUCGAGCACCAGAAACCAACUGGUCUCAUGAGACCAUUAGAUAUCCCAGAAUGGAAAUGGGAGCAUAUCACGAUGGAUUUUGUGACAGGUCUUCCUAGGGGUCAAAAAGGUAACGAUGUGAUUUGGGUUAUCAUAGAUAGGCUAACGAAGUUGGCACAUUUCUUGCCUACGCGGAUGGAUAGGCCAGUCCGAAAGUUUGCAGAGCAGUAUAUUGGAGAGAUAAUUAGACUUCAUGGCACACCGGUAAGCAUAGUCUCCGAUCGGGAUCCGAGGUUUACCUCAAGAUUUUGGGGGAGCUUGCAGGAGUGCAUGGGGACGCAAUUGAAUCUUAGUACAACUUAUCACCCGCAAACCGAUGGACAAUCUGAAAGAACCAUUAAAACGUUAGAAGACAUGCUAAGGUCAUGUGCCUUGGAUUUUGAGGGUAACUAGGAAGAGCAUCUACCCUUAGUGGAGUUUGCUUAUAAUAACAAUUACCACAACAGUAUAGGAAUGGCACCCUAUGAGGCUCUAUACGGGAGGAAAUGCCGCUCGCCUAUUUGUUGGACCGAGGUAGGAGAGAGACAAAUAUUGGGACCCGAGCUGGUACAACAAACUUCGAAAAAGAUCCGGAAGAUUCAAGAGAGAAUUCGAACAACACAAAGCCGGCAAAAGUCUUAUGCGGACAAAAGAAGACGGGAUUUGGAAUUUGAAGUGGGAGAUCAUGUGUAUCUAAAGGUAUCGCCUUAGCAUUUAGCAACUCGAGGAAAGAAGAAAGGAAAGUUAAGACCCCGAUUUAUAGGACCCUAUCCAGUAAUAGGGCGAGUUGGACCAUUGGCUUAUCAUUUAGAACUUCCUUCUAGCUUGUCCAACAUCCACAAUGUUUUCCAUGUGUCUCAAUUUCGAAGGCAUAUACCAGACCUCACUCAGGAAAUUCGGGUGGAAGUGAUCGACCUAAGAGACAAUUUGACGUAUCCAGAGUUGCCUGAACGGAUCCUCAACCGUCGCGACCAAAUCUUGAGGAACAAAGUCAUUCCAUUAGUAAAGAUUCAAUGGAGGAAUCACACCAAGGAAAAAGCCACGUGGGAGCUCGAAGAUACGAUUAAGGGAAAAUAUCCCUAAUUGUUCGAGGAAAUAGAAUAGAAUAGCAUAUUUUAUGAUUUCUAAGAGAUGUUAUCAAGAACCUUGUGAAAUAAAGAAAUUUUUUUAUGUAUGAUUACGUGAAAGACAUGGCAUACCUGGUUGAUAUUGUUCGUAAAAUGAUAUGAACUUGGAUGACUACAAAGACUAUUAGUAAUGAUUUAUGAUUAAUGUAUCGAGUCAGUAAUUUGAUAGACCAAAAGAAAAAUUUCAAGGACGAAAUUCCCUAAAGGGGGGAAGAAUGUAAUACCCGAAAAACUUUCGGGUAAGAAAUAUGAGGUUUCAAAGGAAAUCGGUAUCAGAAGAGCCUGAGAAAAUAUCUGAAUCGACUAAAGGGAACGCCUGGGGGCUCAUAUACCUAAAGAAAUAGGCAUAUACCUAUUAAGAAUUUCAAGAAAUGAUUUUUAGCAUCGAAAGAAAUUAGAUUAGGAAUGAUUUUCGGUACAGCUAAAAAUACAGCUAUGAUUUUGACUGAAAAACCGAAUCAAUGCAGGAGACCUUUGAGAGGUCAACGGAACUGCAAGAAAGUUCAUAUUUAGUAUGUAGAACAACCCUUCAGUGGUUUCAGGAAGAAACGAAAAGGUUUAGGGCCAAAACGAAGAUUUGGGCCUAAGUGUAGUUUUUUGAAAUUGCUAGAGGGAGGCCGAAACGAUAUUUUUUUGGAAUCUUCAAGGGUUAAAAUGAUAUUUUAGGACUUGAGGGACCGAUAGGCAAUUAUUAAAAGUCGAGGGGCUUGGUGAAAUGGGCCAAAGUGAGAGAGCCAAAGUUUGAGGGGCCAAAGUGCAAUUUUAAGAAAACCUCCAAACAACCAUGGCCGACCAACCCAUCAAAUCACCGAAAUCGACCACAGGGAUGGCACGAGGGUUGCUCAGGGAGCAUCUUUUGUAAAGGGCUUGGCUGACAACAAGCAAUGGGAUGGCCGAAAAUUGAAGAAAAAGUGGCCGGAAGUUUGGCCACUUAGAUCACGAAAAUGGAGCUCUUUUGGUGGAUUUUGGACUUGUUAAGGGCAAAAGGGGACAUCAGAGGCCUUGAUUGAAGCGAGAUCUGUCAUUUAUGGGCCCGAAAUCGCCUAUAAAUAGAGGAUAUGGUGGCCUAGAGUUUUAUAAGAUUUGAGAUUCAAAUCGACCUUAUUUUUGAACAAAUUGAGGCACCAAACCAUAGGGCUUUUGUUGCCCAUGAGGUGAGGAUCAUUUCUGGAAAGUUUGAGGAAUUUUGGAGUUCAUUUAAGGAGUGAUCGGAGCUUCACCGGAAAAAUUGAAUCUUGCCGGAGCCGGACUGAUUUUUGCUCGGAGGGAGGUCUUCCAAGUGUUGUUUCAACCUCAAAUUUGGUCAGAGUGAUCAACUCAAGGAAGUGAUUUGGCCAAGGAUCUUGACAAUUUGUAAUAUUUUUGAGGUUGACACGCAAAUCGAGGCAAGUCGAAUUUUUGUUUUAAGGGAGGUAUCGAAGAAGGUGAAGAACCUAUGUCAGCAGCAAUAAGGGAACUGCGAGAAGAAACUGGGAUAGCUUCUGCUGAAAUAAUUGCUGAGCCACUUCACUACCACGAGCAUUGCCAUGUGGAAAAUCUUAAUCAUUGAUCAAAGAUUUGUUUAACUAGCCGCUGGAGUGCAAGAGGUGAUUCAAGAUUUUCUAGAAAAGCUAUCGGGAAAUCUAGCUGAGGUUCCAAAAUGGUUGACUUAUGACUUCCCACCUGCUGUGAAGACCAAAGUGAAUCGUCUGUGGAGAGGUGAAUGGCAUGGGCAGGCACAAAAAUGGUUCCUUAUGAGAUUGACAAAAGAUGAUAGUGAGGUCAA